This 253-nucleotide ribosomal RNA is filed under the name uncultured prokaryote. RNAcentral's name for it is "partial 16S ribosomal RNA". It matches the Rfam family "Bacterial small subunit ribosomal RNA", at positions 524 to 776 of the family's 1533-position model. The record is from RNAcentral.
GACGAACCGUGCAAACGUUGUUCGGAAUCACUGGGCUUAAAGGGCGCGUAGGCGGCUUACCAAGUCAGGGGUGAAAUCUUUCGGCUUAACCGGAAAAGUGCUUCUGAUACUGGUGGGCUAGAGGGAGGUAGGGGCAUGCGGAACUUCCGGUGGAGCGGUGAAAUGCGUUGAUAUCGGAAGGAACGCCGGUGGCGAAAGCGGCGUGCUGGAUCUCUUCUGACGCUGAGGCGCGAAAGCUAGGGGAGCGAACGGG